Molecule: ribosomal RNA, 496 nt
Filed under: uncultured bacterium
Lineage: Bacteria
Description: partial 16S ribosomal RNA
Rfam family: Bacterial small subunit ribosomal RNA
Source: RNAcentral
GAUGAACGCUGGCGGCGUGCCUAAUACAUGCAAAUCGAGCGAACAGACGAGGAGCUUGCUCCUCUGACGUUAGCGGCGGACGGGUGAGUAACACGUGGAUAACCUACCUAUAAGACUGGGAUAACUUCGGGAAACCGGAGCUAAUACCGGAUAAUAUAUUGAACCGCAUGGUUCAAUAGUGAAAGACGGUUUUGCUGUCACUUAUAGAUGGAUCCGCGCCGCAUUAGCUAGUUGGUAAGGUAACGGCUUACCAAGGCAACGAUGCGUAGCCGACCUGAGAGGGUGAUCGGCCACACUGGAACUGAGACACGGUCCAGACUCCUACGGGAGGCAGCAGUAGGGAAUCUUCCGCAAUGGGCGAAAGCCUGACGGAGCAACGCCGCGUGAGUGAUGAAGGUCUUCGGAUCGUAAAACUCUGUUAUUAGGGAAGAACAAAUGUGUAAGUAACUAUGCACGUCUUGACGGUACCUAAUCAGAAAGCCACGGCUAACUACGU